GGGCCCGCACAAGUAGUGGAGCAUGUGGUUUAAUUCGAAGAUACGCGCAGAACCUUACCAACACUUGACAUGUUCGUCGCGACUUUAAGAGAUUAAAGUUUUCGGUUCGGCCGGACGAAACACAGGUGCUGCAUGGCUGUCGUCAGCUCGUGUCGUGAGAUGUUGGGUUAAGUCCCGCAACGAGCGCAACCCUCACUUUUAGUUGCCAUCAUUAAGUUGGGCACUCUGAAAGAACUGCCAGUGAUAAGCUGGAGGAAGGUGGGGAUGACGUCAAGUCCUCAUGGCCCUUACGUGUUGGGCUACACACGUGCUACAAUGGUAUCUACAACAGGAAGCAAAACCGCGAGGUUAAGCAAAUCCCUAAAAGAUACCUCAGUUCGGAUUGCACUCUGCAACUCGAGUGCAUGAAGCUGGAAUU
This 418-nucleotide ribosomal RNA is filed under the name uncultured bacterium. RNAcentral's name for it is "bacterial SSU rRNA". It matches the Rfam family "Bacterial small subunit ribosomal RNA", at positions 917 to 1333 of the family's 1533-position model. The record is from RNAcentral.